GGGCGAUUAGCUCAAGUGGUAGAGCGCUCGCUUAGCAUGCGAGAGGUACGGGGAUCGAUACCCCGAUCGUCCA
Non-coding RNA from Hepatocystis sp. ex Piliocolobus tephrosceles, 73 nucleotides. Lineage: Eukaryota; Apicomplexa; Aconoidasida; Haemosporida; Plasmodiidae. The record is from the annotation of a GenBank genome assembly.